UGAGCUUGGGGUGGCCGCAGAGACCAGCGAGAAGCGACUGUUUACUAAAAACACAGGUCCGUGCGAAGCCGUAAGGCGAUGUAUACGGACUGACGCCUGCCCGGUGCUGGAACGUUAAGGGGACCGGUUAGUCAAUCUUCGGGUUGGCGAAGCUGAGAACUUAAGCGCCAGUAAACGGCGGUGGUAACUAUAACCAUCCUAAGGUAGCGAAAUUCCUUGUCGGGUAAGUUCCGACCUGCACGAAUGGCGUAACGACUUCUCGACUGUCUCAACCAUAGGCCCGGUGAAAUUGCACUACGAGUAAAGAUGCUCGUUUCGCGCAGCAGGACGGAAAGACCCCGGGACCUUUACUAUAGUUUGAUAUUGGUGUUCGGUUCGGCUUGUGUAGGAUAGGUGGGAGACUGUGAAGCUUGGACGCCAGUUCAGGUGGAGUCGUCGUUGAAAUACCACUCUGGUCGUGCUGGAUGUCUAACCUGGGUCCGUGAUCCGGAUCAGGGACAGUGUCUGAUGGGUAGUUUAACUGGGGCGGUUGCCUCCUAAAGUGUAACGGAGGCGCCCAAAGGUUCCCUCAGCCUGGUUGGUAAUCAGGUGUUGAGUGUAAGUGCACAAGGGAGCUUGACUGUGAGACCGACGGGUCGAGCAGGGACGAAAGUCGGGACUAGUGAUCCGGCGGUGGCUUGUGGAAGCGCCGUCGCUCAACGGAUAAAAGGUACCCCGGGGAUAACAGGCUGAUCUUCCCCAAGAGUCCAUAUCGACGGGAUGGUUUGGCACCUCGAUGUCGGCUCGUCGCAUCCUGGGGCUGGAGUCGGUCCCAAGGGUUGGGCUGUUCGCCCAUUAAAGCGGUACGCGAGCUGGGUUUAGAACGUCGUGAGACAGUUCGGUCCCUAUCCGCUGUGCGCGUAGGAGUCUUGAGAAGGGCUGUCCCUAGUACGAGAGGACCGGGACGGACGAACCUCUGGUGUGCCAGUUGUUCUGCCAAGGGCAUGGCUGGUUGGCUACGUUCGGAAAGGAUAACCGCUGAAAGCAUCUAAGCGGGAAGCCUGCUUCGAGAUGAGGACUCCCACCUCCUUUGAGGGGUUAAGGCUCCCAGUAGACGACUGGGUUGAUAGGCCGGAUAUGGAAGCCAGGUGACUGGUGGAGUUGACCGGUACUAAUAGGCCGAGGGCUUGUCCUC
RNAcentral lists this ribosomal RNA (1174 nucleotides) under Streptomyces sp. L-9-10. RNAcentral's name for it is "large subunit ribosomal RNA". It matches the Rfam family "Bacterial large subunit ribosomal RNA", at positions 1763 to 2925 of the family's 2925-position model. Lineage: Bacteria; Bacillati; Actinomycetota; Actinomycetes; Kitasatosporales; Streptomycetaceae. The record is from RNAcentral.